AAUAUUGGACAAUGGGGGAAACCCUGAUGCAGCGACGCCGCGUGAGCGAAGAAGGCCUUCGGGUCGUAAAGCUCUGUCCUAAGGGAAGAAACGGACGGUACCUUAGGAGGAAGCCCCGGCUAACUACGUGCCAGCAGCCGCGGUAAUACGUAGGGGGCAAGCGUUAUCCGGAAUCAUUGGGCGUAAAGGGUGCGUAGGCGGCCUUAUGGGUCAGAGGUGAAAUCCUACGGCUUAACCGUAGUCAGCCUUUGAAACUGUAGGGCUUGAGUGCAGGAGAGGAGAGUGGAAUUCCUAGUGUAGCGGUGAAAUGCGUAGAUAUUAGGAGGAACACCAGUGGCGAAGGCGACUCUCUGGACUGCAACUGACGCUGAGGCACGAAAGCGUGGGUAGCGAACA
Molecule: ribosomal RNA, 396 nt
Filed under: uncultured bacterium
Lineage: Bacteria
Description: partial 16S ribosomal RNA
Rfam family: Bacterial small subunit ribosomal RNA
Source: RNAcentral